Molecule: ribosomal RNA, 220 nt
Filed under: uncultured bacterium
Lineage: Bacteria
Description: partial 16S ribosomal RNA
Rfam family: Bacterial small subunit ribosomal RNA
Source: RNAcentral
CGACGUGAGGAACCUGCCUUGAAGAGGGGGACAACAGUUGGAAACGACUGCUAAUACCGCAUGACGCAUAGAGGUCGCAUGAUCUUUAUGCCAAAGAUUUAUCGCUUCAAGAUGGCCUCGCGUCUGAUUAGCUAGUUGGCGGGGUAACGGCCCACCAAAGCGACGAUCAGUAGCCGACUGAGAGGGUGACCGGCCACAUUGGGACUGAGAUACGGCCCAG